AGUGAACGCUGGCGGUAGGCCUAACACAUGCAAGUCGAACGGCAGCACAGUAAGAGCUUGCUCUUACGGGUGGCGAGUGGCGGACGGGUGAGGAAUACAUCGGAAUCUACUUUUUCGUGGGGGAUAACGUAGGGAAACUUACGCUAAUACCGCAUACGACCUACGGGUGAAAGCAGUGGAUCUUCUGACCUUGCGCGAUUGAAUGAGCCGAUGUCGGAUUAGCUAGUUGGCGGGGUAAAGGCCCACCAAGGCGACGAUCCGUAGCCGGUCUGAGUGGAUGGUCGGCCACCCUGGAACGUGAACACGGUCCAGGCUCCUGAGGGAGGGAGCAGAGGGGUAUGUUAGGCAACAGGGGGGAGCCUGAUCCAACCAUACCGCGUGGGUGGAAGAAGCGCUGCGGGUGGAAAGCCCUUUUUUUGGGAAAAAAAAGCAGGCGGUUGAUACCCCGCUUUUGUGACGGUAACCGAAAAAUAAGCACCGGCUAACUUCGUG
This 492-nucleotide ribosomal RNA is filed under the name uncultured bacterium. RNAcentral describes it as "partial 16S ribosomal RNA". It matches the Rfam family "Bacterial small subunit ribosomal RNA", at positions 29 to 507 of the family's 1533-position model. The record is from RNAcentral.